CUCUUGGAUUGCUUCUGAAGCCUGAUCGCCUGUUCCAAAACUGCAGAGCCGCUGGAGGGCUUCCCAGCUGCCUGGGUCUCGCCCAGCACUGACUACAGGUGACCUAACUCUGCCUCGGGUUUCCAGAACAAGUUAGAGACACGGACAAGGUCCUACCGGAGCUGGGCUAAAAGUAGGGCUCAGUGGGCCUGGCCAAGGAGACAGGCACAGCCACAGCUUCGUGACCAGCCCGGGGACUGUGCUGCUUUGAGACACCUGAGGCAAGG
RNAcentral lists this long non-coding RNA (266 nucleotides) under Cavia porcellus (domestic guinea pig). Its description in RNAcentral is "lncRNA (ENSCPOG00000033028.1)". Lineage: Eukaryota; Metazoa; Chordata; Mammalia; Rodentia; Caviidae. The record is from RNAcentral.